RNAcentral lists this long non-coding RNA (4017 nucleotides) under Coffea arabica (coffee). Its description in RNAcentral is "long non-coding RNA (CARA_LNC001766)". The record is from RNAcentral. Lineage: Eukaryota; Viridiplantae; Streptophyta; Magnoliopsida; Gentianales; Rubiaceae.
UCUUGAAAUAGUCUUGAAAUUAACAUAAAAGUUCCAUUUCCAACCAACAAUUCAAACUUAAUUACAAUUCAAAAGUAAAAUAUAGGAUUACAUUCUAAAGAUUCCAAAUACAUCUCAUCUAUAAAAGUACAAGUACAAGAGAUUAUAUACACUAGUUCACGGCUACUUGCUCCAACCUCCAUCCCUGUAAGGAAAACAAACUAAUGGGAUGAGUUAAAAGUUCAGCGAGGUUCCCAAACAAGCAAUCAAGCAAGCAUACACGAAAACAUUUACAUUUAGCACUUUGCACACUUGGCACAGUAAUAAAUAGUCAUUCAAGAGUCAAUUAUUCAUUCAUUGAAAGGAUACAUGCUCACUUGAAGCCAUUCAUUCAUUCAUUCGCCAACCAUUUUCCUUAUCCCUCCGACAUUAGAAAACAUUUGCAAGUAAAAACUCAUUCAGUGCUCAUGUCAUUCAUUCAUUUAUUUUUAUUGCAUUGAAUUCACUGGUCAGUUCUCCACCAGAUUUCGUGGUAAUACUUGAGUAUACCAAACAUUGUCCCAGGGUCACCAGCCGCCCAACCGAGUCCGCUUCUGGCUCGAUUUGACCGUCAACGAAGAGCAAGGGCCCAAUUCAGCCAAAAGGCUUACAUUCAUACACAAGUAGCAUUCAAUCAUUGAAAAUUCACUUUUGCGUGGGUCGAGUGCGAUAAAGUACAUACUCGUCCAUCGAAAAUCCAUUUAGCAAUCAUUGGAAAGCAUUUAACAUUUAGACAACAUUCCACAUAGUCAUUUAAAGCAUACACAUGCAAGGAACACUUACUAAUAAUUAAUGUUAAGCAAAAUCAGGUUGAGGCUGUGACGCCCCCACUUCUCCCUAAGGCGAACCAAAGGGUAUCCGCGGAACGCCUGCCUAACUCUCGCCAGGACUCAAGCAAUUCCAUUCAAGCUUAUUACCGGACCACACAAUACGAGUCAAUAACUUAGAUACAAUAAAUGCGGAAGCGUUCAAGUUUAAUGAAAGUCAUCCGUUAUCCGACCCGCACAUCGGGUGUUCAACAACCAUUAUAUAUAUCUCAAAUAUACAUCAUGCUCCAAAAGUUACAUUCGGAUUCCAAAAUACAAUCCAAAAGCCAACACAUAGUCAAAAGUAAUAGAAACCCUAAACAAAAGUGUAUUAGGAAGGUUUCUUCGAUACCUCGCCAAGUUCAAUCCUGUUAAGGAAAACAAAUCUACAGGGUGAGCAAAACGCUCGUGAGGCCAAGAACACACAUGCAGACACAUAGUUCAGAUAACAAGCCCAAAUACAAUUCAGGUAAUAGCUUGCAAGUAAUUAAUAACGCCGACAAAAUGUAACCAGAAACAAUUCAAGGAUAUGGAAGCUCUCAGGAGCUAAGUUCCACAUUUGCCGAUGUCAUUUGUAUAUCUCCCCGUGAUGACUCUCCGUCAACCGGGUUGAUAUUUUCAUAUCCGUAGUUCACCACUUACUUCUCAUCCGUCCACCAUACACCACUUCGGGCCCGCACGACAUUUAUAAGGCGAUACUUUACGAGUAUGCCAAGCGAGAUCUCUCAAUAGAUCAAGCUUAUCAUGUGAAUCUCAUGGUUCACCGAGGUUCCCGACCAAGCCCAUGCCGGCUCGAGUUCCAAGGUCGGCCUAUGAGUUUGGGCGUCCCCCAUGUAUCAUGUAAAUGUCGAGGAGAUUCACUCCAUCGACGUAUGCAAUCAUAGCAUACCAUUUCAUGCAUUCAAGCAUUUGACAUGUUUAAGCAGGCAUUUCAAGUCAUGUAAACCAGGCAAAUCAUGUUAGACAUGAGUCAUUCGUGCCAAAUGAGAACGAGUGCGAUUAAGUACACACUCGACUCCAUUUUUUUCAAAAUCAAAUAGACUAAGCAUGUAAUCAGGUAAGUCAAGCAUGAAUCAAGACUUUAGAGUUCAAGUAGGCAUACACUUGACACUCACCAGUUAUGCAAGCAAGUAGGUUGGAGGGAGAGUUCAAACUUCCACGGUAGGGUCCUCUUGGAGGUCCUCGUGCGUGCCUGAACAUCGAAUAGUAGAUAAUUACUAUAGGUCCCCAAGUGGUGAGAAAGAUUGGACACGGGUAAGGUUCGGAAAUAUUUGAAAACUUCGUUUGACUUGUCUUUGAAGUUGGAUUCUCAAAAGGGUGCAGGACUCGAGUAAAAAUCGGAUUAUUAUCCUUAAAAUCAUUGGUUGGAAACGAGUACGAGCAAAACGAUUGCAAAUCGAACGAUCGAAAUCGAAAGACGGCUGGCCACGCCACAAUCCGGCCGGAUAUCCGGCCGGAUUUCUGGCCGGAUAUCCGGCCGGAUUUCUGGCCGGAUUGGAGGCAGUGGCUAACCUCCUUUUUUUUUCAAACUUCGCCACCAAUCCGGCCCACAAUCCGGCCAAAACUGGCCGGAUUCUGGUAAAAUUGUUCCUUCGCGGAUUUCCAGAAUUUUUGAUUUUUGGUCAAAUCUUUGAAAAAUCAUAACUUUCUUUCUACUAAUCGAAACUUGAUGAAUUUGGUACCGUUGGAAUCGUCUUCUAAAGUACUAAAAGUCCUUAGAAGACACCAUUCCAUGAAUCUAAGUGGAAGGUAUUCAAAAAUGAGCCUAAAGUUGCUGUUCUAGAUUACCAGGAUUGAGCCGGGGUUGGUUUUUCGCUAACUUUGGAAAUUCGGAAAAAAUCACUCGUUGCAAACCGGCCCUUGAAACUUAUAACUCGAUUAGAAGUGCAAGUAAAGUUUUGAACAGAACAAGCGGCUCAAGAAUUGGAGUUUCGAGUACCGAGAUACGGUAGCUCAAAGUUGGGAAAAAUUCAAGACUGUUACAAAAUUUCCAGAUUUGGUUCCGACUUUGGACCUUUUAUUAAGUGCCGAAACGGACUUGGAUUGACACCAAAUUUUGCAGUAUAAUACUCCAUAUGAAGGGUAUCUCUCUAUCAAAUUUCAUGGAAAAAUACCCUCGGAAAGGUGGUUAAUCAAUCAACCAAAGUUUGGAAAAAUCCUUAAGGCAAUCUGUCCAAAUCUAAGGUUUCAAAAACGAGGCAGUCGCCGUAUUUUGAUCAUAACUCCCUCAAUUUAACUCGGAAUUGGGAAUGGUUGAUAGUGUUAGAAAAUACAUUCACAGGGCUAAAAUUUCACAGAAGAAAUCGUUUCAAGUUUCAGCAUGCAACUGGUUCGAAAUUAAGCCUAAAGUUGCAGCAUCAUCAAAUCAUUUCGGCAGAACGGAGAAACAGGACAGCCGACUUCAGAUGAAUGGUGUGGCUCACACACAUGAAACCAGAAUGUGCAUUAUACACCGUUGGAAACAUGGGAACGUCUAGUUUCAAAUGCCGCUAACGGCACUUGAUUUCGACGUCGGAGUACGGAGUUAUGGACGAAACACGAACACUGGUCUGGUUACGACGGCAACCGUUUUCCCAGAUUACUAGCUUUGGAAAUAAAUUCGUUUGACCCACCAAAACUCAGUAUUUUUCAACGAAAAUUUGUACACAACUGCUACAACAUGUAAACAACAUAAUCAAGCCAUUAAAUCCUCAAAUUUCUGCAUUAAAGUGACCGAACAGAGCAGGGGUAAAAUGGGAACUUUUUGUUUCAAGAGUUCAAUAACGUUUCUGGUAACAAAGCACCUUUAAUCUACUUCCUUAAGCUCUAAUUCAGCAACAAAACCAUCAUCAAACAUCAUCACAGCCAUCAACCCAAAGUGGGAGUUCAUAGAGCCCACGUUUAACAAUUUUCCCAACAAUACAAGCUACUAAAGUGACGAUUCUAGCUCAAAUGCAUAAAUCAAACUCCAAAAGACAAGUUUAAGGUGAUUGAUUACUACCUACUUUGAUGGCUGGUUAGGACAGAAGUUUCGGCCCCUUUGAAGCUUGAAGAACCGUGAAAGCUCCUCCCUUUUCCAGCUAAAUGUGUUGUCCAAGACUUAGGCUAAGUGGUGCUAAAUUUUUAGAAGAUUUGGUGGUGAUUUGCAUGAGUUUUAGAAGAAGAAAUGUUGAAGGUUUCGGUUGUCCCUUUUGCUGCUGCUAUCCGGCCAUGA